UACAGGUCUCAAGCGUUGUUCGGAUUCAUUGGGCGUAAAGGGUGCGUAGGCGGCGCGGUAAGUCGGGUGUGAAAUCUUGGAGCUUAACUCCGAAACUGCAUUCGAUACUGCCGUGCUUGAGGACUGGAGAGGAGACUGGAAUUUACGGUGUAGCGGUGAAAUGCGUAGAUAUCGUAAGGAAGACCAGUGGCGAAGGCGGGUCUCUGGACAGUUCCUGACGCUGAGGCACGAAGGCCAGGGGAGCAAACGGG
This 251-nucleotide ribosomal RNA is filed under the name uncultured bacterium. RNAcentral describes it as "partial 16S ribosomal RNA". It matches the Rfam family "Bacterial small subunit ribosomal RNA", at positions 526 to 776 of the family's 1533-position model. The record is from RNAcentral.